AGCUCAGGCUCAUUUGAAGUAUCCUCUUCCUGAGGCCACCCCCGAUGACGUCAAUGUGAGACACAUUACUAUACUUAUGGAUGGUGAUACACCAAACAUUAAUAAGAUCACCAACAGUGAACUGUUCCACUGUCCCUUCUGUAAAUACGUGGGUGCAAAAUUUAAGGUCGACUACCAUGUAAAAGGCCAUUCGUCAGUGAAACACAAAGAGUUCACAAUAAUCAAGUGUGGAUUAAGUUGUCGGACGGCAACACAUUUUCAUUGUUGCUAUUGUGCAGCAACACUUAGAAAUCGAUCGCAAUUGGUAAGGCACCUACAAAU
This is a long non-coding RNA of Pleuronectes platessa (European plaice), 321 nucleotides long. RefSeq lists it as uncharacterized. Lineage: Eukaryota; Metazoa; Chordata; Actinopteri; Pleuronectiformes; Pleuronectidae. The record is from RefSeq and is a predicted model, not a curated record. The transcript has 3 exons.